GAUUAGAGUUUGAUCAUGGCUCAGGAUGAACGCUAGCUACUGGCUUAACACAUGCAAGUCGAGGGGCAGCACAGUGUAGCAAUACACGGGUGGCGACCGGCGCACGGGUGCGUAACGCGUAUCCAACCUUCCCGUUACUCAGGGAUAGCCUUCCGAAAGGGAGAUUAAUACCUGAUGGUGUUCAAAUUUCGCAUGUUAUUUGAACUAAAGAUUUAUCGGUAACGGAUGGGGAUGCGUGACAUUAGAUAGUAGGCGGGGUAACGGCCCACCUAGUCUACGAUGUCUAGGGGUUCUGAGAGGAAGGUCCCCCACACUGGAACUGAGACACGGUCCAGACUCCUACGGGAGGCAGCAGUGAGGAAUAUUGGUCAAUGGUCGGAAGACUGAACCAGCCAAGUAGCGUGAAGGAUGAAGGUUCUAUGGAUUGUAAACUUCUUUUAUACGGGAAUAAAACCUCCCACGUGUGGGAGCUUAUAUGUACCGUAUGAAUAAGCAUCGGCUAACUCCGUGCCAGCAGCCGCGGUAAUACGGAGGAUGCGAGCGUUAUCCGGAUUUAUUGGGUUUAAAGGGAGCGUAGACGGGAGAUUAAGUCAGUUGUGAAAGGCUGCGGCUCAACCGCAGCACUGCAGUUGAUACUGGUUUCCUUGAGUUCGGUUGAGGUAUGUGGAAUUCGUGGUGUAGCGGUGAAAUGCUUAGAUAUCACGAAGAACUCCGAUUGCGAAGGCAGCAUACUAAGCCGAUACUGACGUUGAGGCUCGAAAGUGUGGGUAUCAAACAGGAUUAGAUACCCUGGUAGUCCACACGGUAAACGAUGAAUACUCGCUGUUGGCGAUAUAGCAGUCAGCGGCCACAGCUAACGCAAUAAGUGUUCCACCUGGGGAGUACGGCCGCAAGGUUGAAACUCAAAGGAAUUGACGGGAGCCCGCACAAGCAGUGGAGUAUGUGGUUUAAUUCGACGCAACGCGAAAAACCUUACCAAGGAUUGACAUCCAGAGAAGACCGGGUAAUGCUGGUUGUGCCCUUCGGGGAACUCUGAGACAGGUGGUGCAUGGUUGUCGUCAGCUCGUGUCGUGAGAUGUUGGGUUAAGUCCCGCAACGAGCGCAACCCUUACUGUUAGUUGCUACGCAAGAGCACUCUGGCAGGACUGCCGUUGACAAAACGGAGGAAGGUGGGGACGACGUCAAAUCAUCAUGCCCCUUAUAUCUUGGGCUACACACGUACUACAAUGGCGUGGAACAAAGGGCAGCGACCCCGCGAGGGUGAGCGAAUCCCAGAAAACACGUCCCAGUUCGGACUGGAGGCUGCAACUCGCCUCCACGAAGUUGGAAUUGCUAGUAAUCGCGAAUCAGCAUGUCGCGGUGAAUACGUUCCCGGGCUUUGUACACACCGCCCGUCAAACCAUGAAAGUUGAAAACACCCGAAGCCUGUGGGCUAACCGCAAGGAGGCAGCAGUCGAAGGUGGGUUCGGUUAUUGGGGUUAAGUCGUAACAAGGUAACACAAUCGUCGACGCUGCAGACAUGCGCAGCUUGCGGCUUUCCGACGUAAACCCCC
Molecule: ribosomal RNA, 1553 nt
Filed under: uncultured bacterium
Lineage: Bacteria
Description: partial small subunit ribosomal RNA
Rfam family: Bacterial small subunit ribosomal RNA
Source: RNAcentral